Molecule: transfer RNA, 64 nt
Filed under: Dipodomys ordii (Ord's kangaroo rat)
Lineage: Eukaryota; Metazoa; Chordata; Mammalia; Rodentia; Heteromyidae
Rfam family: tRNA
About the family: Transfer RNA (tRNA) molecules are approximately 80 nucleotides in length. Their secondary structure includes four short double-helical elements and three loops (D, anti-codon, and T loops).
Source: Rfam by way of RNAcentral
GGUGGCUCAGUGGUAGAGUGCUUGCCUUGCAUGCAUAAGGCCCUGGGUUCAAUUCCUAGCACCA